Molecule: ribosomal RNA, 253 nt
Filed under: uncultured bacterium
Lineage: Bacteria
Description: partial 16S ribosomal RNA
Rfam family: Bacterial small subunit ribosomal RNA
Source: RNAcentral
UACGGAGGAGGCAAGCGUUAUCCGGAAUUAUUGGGCGUAAAGCGUCCGCAGGUGGCACUUCAAGUCUGUCGUCAAAGACCGGGGCUUAACCCUGGAAAGGCGAUGGAAACUGAAAGGCUAGAGAGAGGUAGGGGUAGAGGGAAUUCCCAGUGUAGCGGUGAAAUGCGUAGAGAUUGGGAAGAACAUCGGUGGCGAAAGCGCUCUACUGGACCGCAACUGACACUCAGGGACGAAAGCUAGGGGAGCGAAUGGG